Molecule: ribosomal RNA, 228 nt
Filed under: uncultured bacterium
Lineage: Bacteria
Description: partial 16S ribosomal RNA
Rfam family: Bacterial small subunit ribosomal RNA
Source: RNAcentral
UGGGCAACCUGCCCUCAGCUCUGGGAUAACCCCGGGAAACCGGGGCUAAUACCGGAUACGACCUCCGCGGGCAUCUGCGGAGGUGGAAAGGUUUUUUCGGCUGAGGAUGGGCCCGCGGCCAAUCAGCUAGUUGGUGGGGUGAUGGCCCACCAAGGCGACGACGGGUAGCCGGCCUGAGAGGGCGACCGGCCACACUGGGACUGAGACACGGCCCAGACUCCUACGGGA